GAUGAACGCUGGCGGCGUGCCUAAUACAUGCAAGUCGAGCGAACAGAUAAGGAGCUUGCUCCUUUGACGUUAGCGGCGGACGGGUGAGUAACACGUGGGUAACCUACCUAUAAGACUGGAAUAACUCCGGGAAGCCGGGGCUAAUGCCGGAUAACAUGUUGAACCGCAUGGUUCUACAGUGAAAGGCGGCUUUGCUGUCACUUAUAGAUGGACCCGCGCCGUAUUAGCUAGUUGGUGAUGUAACGGCUCACCAAGGCAACGAUACGUAGGCGACCUGAGAGGGUGAGCGGCCACACUGGAACUGAGACACGGUCCAGACUCCUACGGGAGGCAGCAGUAGGGAAUCUUCCGCAAUGGGCGAAAGCCUGACGGAGCAACGCCGCGUGAGUGAUGAAGGUCUUCGGAUCGUAAAACUCUGUUAUUAGGGAAGAACAAAUGCGUAAGUAACUGUGCGCGUCUUGACGGUACCUAAUCAGAAAGCCACGGCUAACUACGUG
This 497-nucleotide ribosomal RNA is filed under the name uncultured bacterium. RNAcentral describes it as "partial 16S ribosomal RNA". It matches the Rfam family "Bacterial small subunit ribosomal RNA", at positions 28 to 507 of the family's 1533-position model. The record is from RNAcentral.